Molecule: ribosomal RNA, 446 nt
Filed under: uncultured bacterium
Lineage: Bacteria
Description: partial 16S ribosomal RNA
Rfam family: Bacterial small subunit ribosomal RNA
Source: RNAcentral
CCUACGGGAGGCAGCAGUCGAGAAUCAUUCACAAUGGGGGAAACCCUGAUGGUGCGACGCCGCGUGGGGGAAUGAAGGUCUUCGGAUUGUAAACCCCUGUCAUGUGGGAGCAAAUUAAAAAGAUAGUACCACAAGAGGAAGAGACGGCUAACUCUGUGCCAGCAGCCGCGGUAAUACAGAGGUCGCAAGCGUUGUUCGGAAUCACGGGGCGUAAAGCGUGCGUAGGCUGUUUCGUAAGUCGUGUGUGAAAGGCGCGGGCUCAACCCGCGGACGGCACAUGAUACUGCGAGACUAGAGUGAUGGAGGGGGAACCGGAAUUCUCGGUGUAGCAGUGAAAUGCGUAGAUAUCGAGAGGAACACUCGUGGCGAAGGCGGGUUCCUGGACAUUAACUGACGCUGAGGCACGAAGGCCAGGGGAGCGAAAGGGAUUAGAUACCCCAGUAGUC